This 1343-nucleotide ribosomal RNA is filed under the name uncultured bacterium. Its description in RNAcentral is "16S ribosomal RNA". It matches the Rfam family "Bacterial small subunit ribosomal RNA", at positions 28 to 1378 of the family's 1533-position model. The record is from RNAcentral.
GACGAACGCUGGCGGCGUGCUUAACACAUGCAAGUCGAACGGAAAGGCCCUGCUUUUGUGGGGUGCUCGAGUGGCGAACGGGUGAGCAACACGUGAGUAACCUGCCCUUGACUUUGGGAUAACUUCAGGAAACUGGGGCUAAUACCGGAUAGGAGCUCCUGCUGCAUGGUGGGGGUUGGAAAGUUUCGGCGGUUGGGGAUGGACUCGCGGCUUAUCAGCUUGUUGGUGGGGUAGUGGCUUACCAAGGCUUUGACGGGUAGCCGGCCUGAGAGGGUGACCGGCCACAUUGGGACUGAGAUACGGCCCAGACUCCUACGGGAGGCAGCAGUGGGGAAUAUUGCACAAUGGGCGGAAGCCUGAUGCAGCAACGCCGCGUGCGGGAUGACGGCCUUCGGGUCGUAAACCGCUUUCGCCUGUGACGAAGCGUGAGUGACGGUAAUGGGUAAAGAAGCACCGGCUAACUACGUGCCAGCAGCCGCGGUGAUACGUAGGGUGCGAGCGUUGUCCGGAUUUAUUGGGCGUAAAGGGCUCGUAGGUGGUUGAUCGCGUCGGAAGUGUAAUCUUGGGGCUUAACCCUGAGCGUGCUUUCGAUACGGGUUGACUUGAGGAAGGUAGGGGAGAAUGGAAUUCCUGGUGGAGCGGUGGAAUGCGCAGAUAUCAGGAGGAACACCAGUGGCGAAGGCGGUUCUCUGGGCCUUUCCUGACGCUGAGGAGCGAAAGCGUGGGGAGCGAACAGGCUUAGAUACCCUGGUAGUCCACGCUGUAAACGGUGGGUACUAGGUGUGGGGUCCAUUCCACGGGUUCCGUGCCGUAGCUAACGCUUUAAGUACCCCGCCUGGGGAGUACGGCCGCAAGGCUAAAACUCAAAGGAAUUGACGGGGCCCCGCACAAGCGGCGGAGCAUGCGGAUUAAUUCGAUGCAACGCGUAGAACCUUACCUGGGUUUGACAUGGAUCGGGAGUGCUCAGAGAUGGGUGUGCCUCUUUUGGGGUCGGUUCACAGGUGGUGCAUGGCUGUCGUCAGCUCGUGUCGUGAGAUGUUGGGUUAAGUCCCGCAACGAGCGCAACCCUUGUUCACUGUUGCCAGCACGUUAUGGUGGGGACUCAGUGGAGACCGCCGGGGUCAACUCGGAGGAAGGUGGGGAUGACGUCAAGUCAUCAUGCCCCUUAUGUCCAGGGCUUCACGCAUGCUACAAUGGCUGGUACAGAGAGUGGCGAGCCUGUGAGGGUGAGCGAAUCUCGGAAAGCCGGUCUCAGUUCGGAUUGGGGUCUGCAACUCGACCUCAUGAAGUCGGAGUCGCUAGUAAUCGCAGAUCAGCAACGCUGCGGUGAAUACGUUCCCGGG